Molecule: ribosomal RNA, 374 nt
Filed under: uncultured organism
Description: bacterial SSU rRNA
Rfam family: Bacterial small subunit ribosomal RNA
Source: RNAcentral
CGGGGGGAGCAAGCGUUGUUCGGAUUUACCGGGCGUAAAGGGCGCGUAGGCGGUCAGCACAAGUCAGUUGUGAAAUCUCCGGGCUUAACUCGGAAAGGUCAACUGAUACUGUGCGACUAAAGUGCGGAAGGGGCAACUGGAAUUCUCGGUGUAGCGGUGAAAUGCGUAGAUAUCGAGAGGAACACCUGCGGCGAAGGCGGGUUGCUGGGCCGACACUGACGCUGAUGCGCGAAAGCCAGGGGAGCGAACGGGAUUAGAUACCCCGGUAGUCCUGGCCUUAAACGAUGGAUGCUUGGUGUCUGGAGUUUUAUAGUCUCCGGGUGCCGUAGCUAACGCGUUAAGCAUCCCGCCUGGGGAGUACGGUCGCAAGACUG